AUUGAUGGGUGAAUGGAUUGCCCAUGUAAAAGCUAUUUAAUUCGGUGAACCCUAAGUUGAUUUUUUAAUACGGGAAUACCGAGCGAAGCUAGUUUGGAAACGACUAGAACGUGUAACGACUAGACAAAGUAUACUAAGUAAAAGUAUUUUUAUAUGUUGAAAUGUCCACGAACAGUAGCAAGCUCAAUUUAUAUUGAACUUAAGAUAUAGUCUGAACUAUAUAGAAAUAUAUAG
Molecule: non-coding RNA, 234 nt
Filed under: Clostridioides difficile
Lineage: Bacteria; Bacillati; Bacillota; Clostridia; Peptostreptococcales; Peptostreptococcaceae
Description: Group I intron
Rfam family: Group I catalytic intron
About the family: Group I catalytic introns are large self-splicing ribozymes. They catalyse their own excision from mRNA, tRNA and rRNA precursors in a wide range of organisms.
Source: RNAcentral